Molecule: unclassified non-coding RNA, 1226 nt
Filed under: Homarus americanus (American lobster)
Lineage: Eukaryota; Metazoa; Arthropoda; Malacostraca; Decapoda; Nephropidae
Description: uncharacterized LOC121858268, transcript variant X4
Source: RNAcentral
UUGGAAGAGACGCAUCUUUUGUCUUCUUACACAUUAUAAAUUUCCAGUCGGCUCCGAGAGUUCCCUCUUCUUCAACUCCGUGGUAGACGUCUUCACUCGGCUGACUCGGUGUUGUCUCUAAGCUCCAGUGUCCAGACCCUGAGAUCUGGAAAAGAUUCAUCAAGAGAUUUGCCAAGACAAUAGUCAAGGUGCUCUUAGCCUAUAAUGAUAUUGGCAAGAAAGAAUUUACUAAUUAUGUCCGUGAUGAGAAAAAGGCCUGUAUCCUCAUGAACAACAUACAACAAUUAAGAGUUCAGCUGGAGAAGAUGGGCGGCAGGAACCCAUAUCGAGGAAGACGUCGCCACCAUCCUCGGUGAGCUGCAGGGUACUGUACCCUCAACACAGUCCUGGAUCAACUCGCUCAUCAGUUUGCCAAGAGCUUGGAGGGUCAUAUUGCUGUAAGAAAUGGGCAACAAACUGGCAGCAGUGAAGGGCACAGGCCAGGUGCAGCCGUCACAAUGCAACGAAGUCGCCAUCGAGGCGGACGACGCAUUAGUGUCCUCGAUGGACUUGCUGAAGGUCUCCUUCACUCUUUAUGACCAGUCCUGUGAGAAGACAGUGCUGAAGAGACUCCCGAAGGAACUGUGGAAGAUUGUCAUGACCGCGAUGGAGAAGACGGUCGUGCCGCCUCCCGUGACCGACGAGGUGGUAAGAUUUUCUUUGGUUAAUUCGUCUCCGUAUGGAUUUUCUCAUAACUGGAUCAUAACUCUCGGUUCUCUUUCCAGGUACCAAUUUGUGUUGACUUUUCCCAUAUACAGAGAAAAGUUACUGUGGCAGAAGUAUUUAUAAACAGGAUCAUUGUUUUAGUCCAUAACCCUAUAAGAUUAUUUUUUUAAGAUGUGUAAUAAACAGGAAGCUAAAGAUCAGUAAUGUCUAAUCAUUGUGAAGAACAUCAUACCAAUUUUCAGGUUCCUGUAACAUACAGUAAUUAUUUAUGGUACUUGAAUAAAAAAAUGAGUCUGUGUUCAGAAUUUGUGUCUGCUUCAUUUUAAAGGGAUUGCUGUAUCAUGAAUAAAAUACAGAGGAUGUGUUCUUUACCUCCUGUAAUAUACUGUACAGUCAACCCUUGCUUUACGCGCUUCCACGUUCACGCGUUACCCUGCCGAACACGGAAUGCUCACUUUCCGUGGUGUGUGUACCCUUUUACGCGGAGAGCGGCGCGAGCAGGGUGCGCACAAAGUCGCCCU